CUGGACCUUCUCCAGAAGUGUAGAAACAAGUUCAGCCAGACAUUACUGAGAAGCAAUCCAGAAAUAUCCUGUGGACAGAAGGGGCAAAGGCAAUGUUACUGUUUGGGUAGUUUGGGCUCGUUCCCAUCUGCUGUCAAGCUCUCAGAGCACUUUGGAGGUCACACCAUUUCUGCAAGGAGAACUGAAACGGAGACUGAAAGACAGAGACCAGAGGCAGAACCCAGGCUGGGCUCGCACCUGGUUUAGUUUCUGUUCUCUCUAAGGAGUGAUUGGGAAAUGCUCUUGUGGUAAGGCCAUAAAUAACUCAGUGCCAACACACCAGCUCUUGCCAUCUCCUGUUCAAGUCAGUGCAACCACGAAGAGCCGUUCAUCUCCAACUUUGAGCAAUACCUCACAGCAUUUGAUGCCUGUAUUUUAAUACCUUGUGGUUUUAGAUUGUAUGCUUUCGAUAACUGGAGGCUUUACUCAAGGGGUCAGGACCACAUAAGGAACACAGAAAGGGAGGCUGUUUGGUGUCUCCUCGCUCCCCCAUAAGAAGUAUCCAGCUCCCCAGUAGAAGUUAAAGUAAUGACAACAACAGAACUGGAAAUAACUUCAAAGUCAAACUGCUAUCUUGUGAAAGAUGAGGAAAAUGUUGCAAAGAAAAUAUCAAAGGCUCAAGAAGGAUUUUCCUAGGCACUUUGUCACAGAAGUCUUUACUACCCCCUGCAGAGACAAUCAAGACUAAUGGGAACAUUAGUACAGCAGAGGACUACAUAUCAAAAGAGUCCCUGGAGCAAAUAACACCAGUAACUAGAGCAUCACUGGCACCAUACUCCAAACCACCCCCCUCUGUCACAGAAAUGAGUAAAAUGGUCGUAAACAGCAGAGAGAAAAUUUUUGCCUGGUGACUGCAAAUAAGCACCCAGCAGAGCUGUUAAAAGUUGCUUGCUGAAGAGAAAAAUAUGAUUCUUCCAGUUUUAUGGGCCAUGUUCAGAUAGCUCUUACUCCUAUACCAUAAAUCCAAUUUUCACAUAGAUUAAACGGAAAGCCAUCACAGGCUCUGCUGAAUAAUGCACGGGAUUGUCAAGCUUCUGCUGCGUGAUGUGCACCGAAUCAAUCCUCUUCCACGCUCAGGUAUGGCUUUGCAGUGCAGUGGCUGCCAGCAAUAGUGCAACGCUUGCCACCUUGGGUGCUUGGCUUUACAGCAACACUGGCUGCUCUGAGCAUGAGAAAUGUCACAAAUGCCUUCACAGAUGUGCAUGUGGGGUCUGGGUUCGUACACAAACUCUUGUUUGGAUCAUUUACAUAGAUUUUAAAAAUUAAUAAAAAAAAAAAAAAGGUUAUGUUAGAGUUUAAGCUCAGAAGAGGUGGCUUGGGCAGUAUCUGACUCCUCUGGAAUAAUACUCGGAGGCAGCUGCAGCGGGGUCCAAGGGCAAGUGAGGAGGGAAGUAGAUAAAGCAUCUCACGUGUGGCAUUUGUCGUCACUUUAGAGAGUGUGUCUUUGUGCACCGAUGGCAGCAGCUUUCAAAAUGCCUGAGUUCACCUGUGGUGGCAAAGCUGGAGAUGCUUCCAGCAGCUGGUGGCUGUGCUUGUGGGGAGCUGUUGCUCUGCAAAAAAAAGCUUUUUCCAGGUGUAGCAUUAGGCACUGGUUCCUGUCUCAAAACUCACAGUGUCCUGAUUGGUCUCUCAAGUACUUUGAUGUUUACUGAUACCACCACAAGUGUGAAAAACAGAGCUUGAAUCUUACUGAUUUGCAAGAACUUGGGAAUAUUAUGAAUAUGAAGUAUGCUGUGCAGGGGAAGGUGGUGUCACAUAAAGUAUGCUGUGUGCCAUGAUUAAUGCUAAAUGAAGAUAAAUGCCACUGACUGUUAGGCAUUUCAAAUAAACAACCCCAGUUAGCAGAUGCAGCAAAAGGUACUCUGAGUUUGCUCCUCACUAUAUUUAGAUCAAAGGAAAAAAUCCACUCUUUAAGUAAACACUGCACGAUAUACGUAAGAUAUUGUAUCACAUAUGGGGCAGCACCUCAGUCACCCAGCUAUCAACAUUUGUGUAUUUUUCUCAAUUUUGUUUUUGUCCUGAAGGUCUUAUGGGUAUUUGAGAAAUGUGGUAGGCUCCCCAUGCAUGCAUCCUUUGACGGCCAAUGUGAGUCACUUCUCUGAAGGCAUGGUUCUACUAGCAUUGCAGUCAGUGUAAAUUUAAUCCUCCCCUGGUUCAACAGCAAUGGGGUUGGACUUGUCUGUUGUUCUGCAUUCCUGGCAUUAUUUGCUUCUGGUUUGCACACUUGUGUUUCUGUUAUGAUGGUAAGUUUGUGCCAAUUUGUUCUUGCACUGAUUGCUAAUGCUCUGUCAUGUUUUGCUGGGUGCAAGUACACUGGGGAGUAUUUGCCUGUAUACUUGUUUCAUCGUUGAAAAUGCUUUAAGAGAGGGCUUAAAAAAGGUCAUCUCUAUUUUUAUUAUUCACACCUAUAUGUUGAAAUUAAUCUUCUCAUACUAAUGUGAAGAACAAAACCCCAGGCACAUUAAAAUCAGUGGGUUUGGGGGGGUUCCUGCAGCUUCAUGUGAGCCAGGCUUUCACCCAGGAUUGCCGUACCCUUGUUCUUAAGCCAUUUCUACCAGUCAGUGUCUUUGAGGGAGCGAUACCUGGUUUAAACUUCUGAAAAUGCAACCAGGCCGACUCAGGGCAAGCAACCUUCUGCUAGAAAGCUUUGCAGAGAGAUCUGUUUAAAUGCCUGCUGUUCUGUGCCCUCCAGUUCAGCGCUGAAUACUAAACAUGUUUUGUUAAAAUGAGAGUGAGCUUGAAUGCUUUGGUCCCGAAUCUUAUGUGAAAAUGGGUAGCUAAAAAUAAAUGUAUAGAGAUUCCUGGAAGCAACACUGGGAUGUGGGUGGGAGAGAUGGGCAGGACGUUUCUGAGAUGUCAACUCUUUUCUCACUGUGUUGGGCUGAAAAAUAUAAAUUCUAAAAAUUUUCCUGAAACGGUAUUCAGCAUUACACAUUUGAGUUCCCAAUCAGAGCAUCACAUUUAGAUUUUAUCACACUGUAAUUUGUUCUGGGUUUGUCCUUGGAACUUCUUUAAACCAGAAUUGAGCAACAAUUUCUAAAAUGUAAAGGCACUUCAAAUCAGAAUUUUUUUCCCCAAAAAAUUAGAGAUGUGAGAGGCUCGUCAAAGCUAACUCUUCAUCACGCUAGUCAUCACUUACUGAGUUGAUAUUGCCUGAUAAUAAUUUUUUUUUCCUAAAAGUGAGUGGUGAAUGGAGAGCGCGUUAGCUAUGACUCGGUGCCCUACAUUUCCCAUCACUUACCUAAUCCCCAAGGAAGCACCUGCAGCAUAAGGUGUAAUUACAAAGGACUUGAAUAUCCGUGAUUGAGAUAAAGGCCAGGUCUACAUGUGAACACUUGCCAGACACAAAUGACUGCAUUCAUGGAGCAAGCACUUUGAUGAGUUCCUCGUGUCCUGGUGCAGGCAGCUCUGGACGUGCCUGUCUGUAUGAUUUUAUGCAGGUAACAAUGUCAGCUGGAUGUUGACAACAGGAAUCAAAUUUGUGUGAGGACACUUGCAGAAGGCUGUGUUUUAUCGCAGCAACAUAGACGAGGCACAGUGCUUCUGUAAAUGUUUUAUGCCAUCUAGAUUGCAUUUCAGUAUAGAGGCUAAAAAAAAAAAAAGUGCAGUAGUAAAAGCUGCUGUGGUCGUGCCACAGUUCUCCACCCCUGCUUCUGUGCCCUCUCAAGUUCUUCCCCUUCCCACCCAGUCCCAGAGCUGUCACCAGCCCAUUUCUCUCCUGAACAGAUUUAACUCUGUUUCUGUCUGUCAUCUCUGUCUCACUAUUAGGACCUCAGCUGCUUCCCUGCUAAUUGCAUCACCUUACAUGACAUAGGUAUUUUCAUAACUCCAGUAAAAGCUGCUCAUUAUUUUACAUGGUGAUUUCCAAUCUGUUGUCAGAUUAGUUCCUGGCAACCUGAGUGCAAGCCACUGAAGGCUGGAUAGCUUCAUACAACUUUAAUGAAGCACAAGCUUAUUAGCAGAAGGAAAAAACCAACGAUCAAGGAUCUCACAGCGGAAGAAAUGUGACAUUCUUCGAAUUACUCUGUGUGGAACAGAGUCUUCCCAUCAUUUUCCUUUACACUUGUAAAUUUCAGCCUCUGCUCUUGAGUUAUCCGAUGAGGAAACAAGAAGCAGCAUUUAUGUGGUGACCGAAAAAGACAUCGAAAGAGAUAUUUCUCUACAACAUACAAAUGAGAAUUCAUUGCAAACAUAAUGCAACAACAAAGAAUGCAAAUGUUCAGAUAUGGAGUGCUACAUCACACAGCAAUGGUUGAAUUCCCUGCUCCAUACUCAUGGCAAAUAUGAGCAUACAGCAGUGCAGCAGUGGCAAGAGAGGGUCAUCUGGCUUGGAAAUGCUGGGAAAGAUGCAGAGCACUGGCUUGCAUCCACAGUUCAAAGUACAGCCUGAGGUCACUGAUCUGGAGGUCUGCAGCCUGCUCCACCUCACUGGAGAUGUCCCAGAGCAGGACACAGAGCCUUUCCCGCGCCCACAUGUCUCCUAGGUUGCUGUGGAAUCACGCACUGCGAGCACAUGGUACCAGCCCAGGAGUGAGCUGCACCCUCAUGUGCCAGUAUUUGCUUUGCAAAUCUCCUGAGCCAGACCAUGAUGCUCUGCACCGGAGAGGCUUUGGUAGAUCUGGCCAGGGAGUGCUGCUUUCUAAUAAGAAGCCCCUGCUCAAGCAAGCUGAAAAAAAACCACCAACCAGCAGGUCUACAGACAGGCAGGCAGCUGGGAGGAUGCCCUGCCUCCAGCGCACUUGCUGCCAUG
Molecule: long non-coding RNA, 4789 nt
Organism: Falco peregrinus (peregrine falcon)
Lineage: Eukaryota; Metazoa; Chordata; Aves; Falconiformes; Falconidae
Exons: 7
Source: RefSeq, a predicted model, not a curated record